GACAGAGGGUGCAAACGUUGUUCGGAUUUACUGGGCGUAAAGCGCGUGUAGGCGGCCUUGCAAGUUGGAUGUGAAAGCCCACGGCUCAACCGUGGAAGCGCAUCCAAAACUGCAUCGCUCGAGUCUCGGAGAGGAAGGUGGAAUGCUUGGUGUAGAGGUGAAAUUCGUAGAUAUCAAGCAGAACACCUGCGGCGAAGGCGGGUCUCUGGGCAGUAACUGACGCUGAGGAGCGAAAGCGUGGGGAGCGAACAGG
This 253-nucleotide ribosomal RNA is filed under the name uncultured bacterium. RNAcentral describes it as "partial 16S ribosomal RNA". It matches the Rfam family "Bacterial small subunit ribosomal RNA", at positions 524 to 776 of the family's 1533-position model. The record is from RNAcentral.